Molecule: long non-coding RNA, 362 nt
Organism: Oncorhynchus keta (chum salmon)
Lineage: Eukaryota; Metazoa; Chordata; Actinopteri; Salmoniformes; Salmonidae
Exons: 3
Source: RefSeq, a predicted model, not a curated record
AAUAUGUCUCCUCCAUGUCUCAGUGUCUUACUGCAGGUCUAUAAUAUGUCUCCUCUCCUCCAUGUCUCAGUGUCUUACUGCAGGUCUAUAAUAUGUCUCCUCCAUGUCUCAGUGUCUUACUGCAGGUCUAUAAUAUGUCUCCUCCAUGUCUCAGUGUCUUACUGCAGGUCUAUAAUAUGUCUCCUCCAUGUCUCUGUGUCUUACUGCAGGUCUAUAAUAUGUCUCCUCCAUGUCUCAGUGUCUUACUGCAGGUCUAUAAUAUGUCUCCUCCAUGUCUCAGUGUCUUACUGCAGGUCUAUAAUAUGUCUCCUCUCCUCCAUGUCUCAGUGUCUUACUGCAGAUAAACAAACCGUAGUUAGAUC